This 253-nucleotide ribosomal RNA is filed under the name uncultured bacterium. RNAcentral's name for it is "partial 16S ribosomal RNA". It matches the Rfam family "Bacterial small subunit ribosomal RNA", at positions 524 to 776 of the family's 1533-position model. The record is from RNAcentral.
UACGUAGGUGGCAAGCGUUGUCCGGAUUUACUGGGCGUAAAGAGCGCGCAGGCGGUCGCUCAAGUCGCGUGUGAAAGCCCCCGGCUCAACUGGGGAGGGUCACGCGAUACUGAUCGACUGGAAGGCAGGAGAGGGUAGUGAAAUUCCCGGUGUAGUGGUGAAAUGCGUAGAUAUCGGGAGGAACACCAGUGGCGAAGGCGACUACCUGGCCUGUUCUUGACGCUGAGGCGCGAAAGCUAGGGGAGCAAACGGG